UCCGUAGGUGAACCUGCGGAGGGAUCAUUACCGAGUUUACAACUCCCAAACCCCUGUGAACAUACCUUAAUGUUGCCUCGGCGGAUCAGCCCGCGCCCCGUAAAACGGGACGGCCCGCCAGAGGAUCCAAACUCUAAUGUUUCUUAUUGUAACUUCUGAGUAAAACAAACAAAUAAAUCAAAACUUUCAACAACGGAUCUCUUGGUUCUGGCAUCGAUGAAGAACGCAGCAAAAUGCGAUAAGUAAUGUGAAUUGCAGAAUUCAGUGAAUCAUCGAAUCUUUGAACGCACAUUGCGCCCGCUGGUAUUCCGGCGGGCAUGCCUGUUCGAGCGUCAUUUCAACCCUCAAGCCCCCGGGUUUGGUGUUGGGGAUCGGCUCUGCCUUCUGGCGGUGCCGCCCCCGAAAUACAUUGGCGGUCUCGCUGCAGCCUCCAUUGCGUAGUAGCUAACACCUCGCAACUGGAACGCGGCGCGGCCAUGCCGUAAAACCCCAACUUCUGAAUGUUGACCUCGGAUCAGGUAGGAAUACCCGCUGAACUUAAGCAUAUCAAUAAGCGGAGGA
RNAcentral lists this ribosomal RNA (561 nucleotides) under Fusarium tricinctum. RNAcentral's name for it is "eukaryotic LSU rRNA". The stretch from base 182 to 335 matches the Rfam family "5.8S ribosomal RNA". The record is from RNAcentral. Lineage: Eukaryota; Fungi; Ascomycota; Sordariomycetes; Hypocreales; Nectriaceae.